GUCGUAGUUGUCGAAUGCUGGGAGUCGGAGCAUCAUUUUGGCCGUUUGGACCUCCAGCACGGGUGCCGGAAUGCAGAGGCCUAGCGGAGGUUCAGAGCAGCUGGGCACCGGUGUGACGUCUGCUUUGCCAUUCACUGGAAGAUGGGGCGAGGCUGUGGACACGGAUCCAGCAAGGUGUGGAUUCUGUGCCAGUGGUGUUGGACCUGGCCCUUGAGUAAUGGAUAGUCCUUCCUCAGGCUGUUGGAAGAGGUCCGGAUCAUGUGUUGGUCCAUGUGAGCUGGCCAAUGGAUAACGUGAGCUGGUGUUUACUGAGGACCAGAGUGGGUGCUGGUGCUGGAGCGUGAUGGGAAGGUCCGCAGAAGUCCUGCUCUUGAGGGGGAAAAGUUGAGAAUGAGUGAGCAGCUGAAGAGGCCUGACUGUGGAGCCCUGCUGUGUCCUCAUGAUGGCAAUGGCACCAUCUGAUCCCAGUGAUCCCUGAGCCCCACAGGCACUGCCCAAGAGGCCCAACUCGCUCGGGAUGUGAGGGGUGCCAUGACCGGAUUGCCAGGGUGGCGUUUCCUCCCCUUCCCCUGGUGGCUCUCGGGACUCCUGCAGGUGUUUGU
This is a long non-coding RNA of Megalops cyprinoides (Indo-Pacific tarpon), 602 nucleotides long. RefSeq lists it as uncharacterized. The record is from RefSeq and is a predicted model, not a curated record. The transcript is spliced from 9 exons. NCBI's taxonomy places the organism in Eukaryota, Metazoa, Chordata, Actinopteri, Elopiformes, Megalopidae.